This 507-nucleotide long non-coding RNA is filed under the name Homo sapiens (human). Its description in RNAcentral is "HSALNT0276310". The record is from RNAcentral. Lineage: Eukaryota; Metazoa; Chordata; Mammalia; Primates; Hominidae.
CCGCGAGGUGAGCAGAGGCUGGUCGGGAAGUUUCCCGGAGGCUCGCCCCGGGAACCCCGCCCCGCCGCCCUGGAAGCCCCUGUCUGCUCGCUGGCUUACCCCUAGGACGGGCAGCUCACCACUUCUCCCGAUCUCAGACUUACACCUGCCCUGCCCCGCCUGGCUGAUUCUCCAGCCCCAGCCGGAGAGCCACUCACCAUUUUGAUGGGCCGGAAGGACAUGAGCCGAUCACUGCGGUAGCUGCUCGACCAUGUGUUCCAGCGAGGGUACUCGCCCUUCUCCAGGAUGAACAUCUCCCCGCGGAAGUUGGACUGCUCAAAGGCGACCCAGCUGGAUACAAGAAGGACCAUGAGGCAGACAGGAGACAUAUGGGGGCUGCUGGGACCCUGCUCUCCCCAGAAGGAGACAAGGAUGAUGGGCUAUCACCAUGGGCUGAGACAGAAUGCAUCACAGGAGCCUCAGGUCUUUGUCUGAGAGAUGAGUUAACCACACUGGAGUAAAUUAAAG